RNAcentral lists this ribosomal RNA (578 nucleotides) under uncultured bacterium. RNAcentral's name for it is "partial 16S ribosomal RNA". It matches the Rfam family "Bacterial small subunit ribosomal RNA", at positions 355 to 924 of the family's 1533-position model. The record is from RNAcentral.
UGGGGAAUUUUGGACAAUGGGCGAAAGCCUGAUCCAGCAAUGCCGCGUGUGUGAAGAAGGCCUUCGGGUUGUAAAGCACUUUUGUCCGGAAAGAAAUCCUUGGCUCUAAUACAGUCGGGGGAUGACGGUACCGGAAGAAUAAGCACCGGCUAACUACGUGCCAGCAGCCGCGGUAAUACGUAGGGUGCAAGCGUUAAUCGGAAUUACUGGGCGUAAAGCGUGCGCAGGCGGUUUGCUAAGACCGAUGUGAAAUCCCCGGGCUCAACCUGGGAACUGCAUUGGUGACUGGCAGGCUAGAGUAUGGCAGAGGGGGGUAGAAUUCCACGUGUAGCAGUGAAAUGCGUAGAGAUGUGGAGGAAUACCGAUGGCGAAGGCAGCCCCCUGGGCCAAAUACUGACGCUCAUGCACGAAAGCGUGGGGAGCAAACAGGAUUAGAUACCCUGGUAGUCCACGCCCUAAAACGAUGUCAACUAGUUGUUGGGGAUUCAUUUCCUUAGUAACGUAGCUAACGCGUGAAGUUGACCGCCUGGGGAGUACGGUCGCAAGAUUAAAACUCAAAUGAAUUGACGGGGUCAUGC